RNAcentral lists this ribosomal RNA (611 nucleotides) under uncultured bacterium. RNAcentral's name for it is "bacterial SSU rRNA". It matches the Rfam family "Bacterial small subunit ribosomal RNA", at positions 8 to 653 of the family's 1533-position model. The record is from RNAcentral.
AGAGUUUGAUCCUGGCUCAGCGCGAACGCUGGCGGCAUGGCUAAAACAUGCAAGUCGAACGCGAAAGCGGCUUCGGCCGUGAGUAGAGUGGCGAAAGGGCGAGUAAUGCGUCUUUAUGUACCCUCAGGUGCGGGAUAGCUCAGGGAAACUUGGGAUAAUACCGCAUAAUACCGUAAGGUCAAAGGCUUGCUGCCUGAGGCUCAGAAGACGUCCUAUCAGCUAGUUGGUGAGGUAAAGGCUCACCAAGGCGAAGACGGGUAGCCGGUGUGAGAGCACGACCGGCCGCAUCGGGACUGAGACACUGCCCGGACUCCUACGGGAGGCUGCAGUAACGAAUAUUCCACAAUGCGCGAAAGCGUGAUGGAGCAAUGCCGCGUGCGGGAUGAAGCCCCUCCGGGGUGUAAACCGCUGUCAGGACCCAGGAAGAUCUGACCGGGUCCAAAGGAAGGGCCGGCUAACUUCGUGCCAGCAGCCGCGGUAAUACGAAGGGCCCGAGCGUUGCGCGGAAUCACUGGGCUUAAAGCGUGCGUAGGCGGACUUGCAAGUACUUUGUGAAAUCCCAGGGCUCAACCCUGGAACUGCUCGGUAAACUGCAAGUCUUGAGCUAGACA